RNAcentral lists this ribosomal RNA (429 nucleotides) under Actinomycetes bacterium. RNAcentral's name for it is "Actinobacteria bacterium partial 16S ribosomal RNA". It matches the Rfam family "Bacterial small subunit ribosomal RNA", at positions 355 to 776 of the family's 1533-position model. Lineage: Bacteria; Bacillati; Actinomycetota; Actinomycetes. The record is from RNAcentral.
UAGGGAAUCUUCCGCAAUGGGCGAAAGCCUGACGGAGCAACGCCGCGUGAGUGAUGAAGGUCUUCGGAUCGUAAAACUCUGUUAUUAGGGAAGAACAAAUGUGCAAGUAACUAUGCACGUCUUGACGGUACCUAAUCAGAAAGCCACGGCUAACUACGUGCCAGCAGCCGCGGUAAUACGUAGGUGGCAAGCGUUAUCCGGAAUUAUUGGGCGUAAAGCGCGCGUAGGCGGUUUUUUAAGUCUGAUGUGAAAGCCCACGGCUCAACCGUGGAGGGUCAUUGGAAACUGGAAAACUUGAGUGCAGAAGAGGAAAGUGGAAUUCCAUGUGUAGCGGUGAAAUGCGCAGAGAUAUGGAGGAACACCAGUGGCGAAGGCGACUUUCUGGUCUGUAACUGACGCUGAUGUGCGAAAGCGUGGGGAUCAAACAGG